GCAUUAGCGUCUGGCUCCAUUUCAGCUCACAAGUUUCUCUGCAAAGGAGGGAGAGUUUGUAUGAGGGAAGCUAAGAUUUUGCUUUCUCACUUCUUACCCCAUCUUGUAAAAAACAGCCUGAUGCUCUGGGGCUUCCUCACCACCCAGGAUGAACCAGCCUUUCCACUUCCAUACCAUGGUGUGCUCUGUGCCCUCUGAAAGACAAGAAACACUUGGCAGCUAGGUGUGGUGGCACACACCUGUAAUCUCAGCACCAGGGAAGCUGAGGUAGGGGAGCAUGAGUUCAAGGCCACCUUGAGCAGUGUACAAAGCCUAUGUUUUUUGAAAAGCAAGAGAAACAGAAAGAUACAGAGAGACACUUCAGAAUAACACUUGUUAAUUUAUAUCCUAUAAGAAAGAAAUCAUGCCAUCAGUGUAUAUUUGCUGGUGUGUGACCCAUUCAUAAGGUACAUACCUUAGAGUAGAGCUGCUUCUCUUAAUUUUUGUUCUGUCUUAUUCUUUACUUAUUUUAUUUCUGUUUAACUAAACAAGAUGAUUCAAAAAGAGAGCAA
This 551-nucleotide long non-coding RNA is filed under the name Cricetulus griseus (Chinese hamster). Its description in RNAcentral is "lncRNA (ENSCGRG00000025554.1)". Lineage: Eukaryota; Metazoa; Chordata; Mammalia; Rodentia; Cricetidae. The record is from RNAcentral.